This 243-nucleotide unclassified non-coding RNA is filed under the name Hevea brasiliensis (rubber tree). The record is from RNAcentral. Lineage: Eukaryota; Viridiplantae; Streptophyta; Magnoliopsida; Malpighiales; Euphorbiaceae.
UGCCAAACCCUACUAAAUCUCUUGCCUUCUUUUUCAACUCUGAAAUCCACCCCAUUGGAAGGAUACGCUUUAGCUCCAAUACACAAUCACCACAACCACCCAUUUCUUUUGGGGCACAAGAAAUACUUCCAUCAUCAUUGGCAUUCCACAGCACAAAUGGAGGUUCCCCUUGAUCCUCAAGAUUUUCAAAACCACAAGGCAGUGGAUCUCUACCAUGCAUAUAUUCAGAGCCUCAAUAGACAC